Molecule: ribosomal RNA, 465 nt
Filed under: uncultured bacterium
Lineage: Bacteria
Description: partial 16S ribosomal RNA
Rfam family: Bacterial small subunit ribosomal RNA
Source: RNAcentral
GACGAACGCUGGCGGCGUGCUUAACACAUGCAAGUCGUACGGUAAGGCCCUUUCGGGGGUACACGAGUGGCGAACGGGUGAGUAACACGUGAGUAACCUGCCCACAACUUUGGGAUAACGCUAGGAAACUGGUGCUAAUACUGGAUAUGUGCCCCUGCUGCAUGGUGGGGGUUGGAAAGCUCCGGCGGUUGUGGAUGGACUCGCGGCCUAUCAGCUUGUUGGUGGGGUAGUGGCCUACCAAGGCGGCGACGGGUAGCCGGCCUGAGAGGGUGACCGGCCACAUUGGAACUGAGAUACGGCCCAGACUCCUACGGGAGGCAGCAGUGGGGAAUAUUGCACAAUGGGCGCAAGCCUGAUGCAGCAACGCCGCGUGCGGGAUGACGGCCUUCGGGUUGUAAACCGCUUUCAGCAGGGACGAAGCUUUUUGUGACGGUACCUGCAGAAGAAGCACCGGCUAACUACGUG